GGCGCCGUGGCCAAGUGGACUAAGGCAGCGGAUUGCAAAUCCGCCAUCCCCGGUUCGAAUCCGGGCGGCGCCU
RNAcentral lists this transfer RNA (73 nucleotides) under Planctomycetaceae bacterium. RNAcentral's name for it is "tRNA-Cys". It matches the Rfam family "tRNA". From Rfam's summary of the family: Transfer RNA (tRNA) molecules are approximately 80 nucleotides in length. Their secondary structure includes four short double-helical elements and three loops (D, anti-codon, and T loops). Lineage: Bacteria; Pseudomonadati; Planctomycetota; Planctomycetia; Planctomycetales; Planctomycetaceae. The record is from RNAcentral.